RNAcentral lists this ribosomal RNA (1072 nucleotides) under Triticum aestivum (bread wheat). RNAcentral describes it as "partial small subunit ribosomal RNA". The record is from RNAcentral. Lineage: Eukaryota; Viridiplantae; Streptophyta; Magnoliopsida; Poales; Poaceae.
CACAAUACUCUCUUCAGCCCGAUGAUUAACUGCUCCCAUGUACAACCACUGUUUCAGCGAGAUCUGGAAAGCAAGAGGUAGUCAGCACCACAAUGCAACCAACGGUGUGUACAACUGUGAAGGAAGGUCAGCUCUACUAUGAGUUUGAGCAUGACACACGAUAGCUGAAAUUGACUUUUCUUCAUUUACAGGUUUUGCUUCACUGGUUGUGUCGUUCUCCUUUCCUGCCGUCUUCGCUUGCCUAUUGCAGUUCUGGCCAACUCUUGGCAGCUAUUGCUGUGGCCUCUAUUAGUGUCAACACCGCCUAUUCAUACAUCACUGCAGCCUAGGCAUGCCUCUCCUCCAUCGUUGCUGCGUAUGCCUGGUGCUUCUCACACCAUAGUUUGCCUCUUUUUCUCAUGGUGCAUUGCUCUCCUUUCUUCACUAUCUGCUAUUUGGUGCCUGGUUUCGUUUGCCUACUUCGCGGUCCAGGAACAGCACGGAGCUUGCUGGUGUUGGAUCUGACGGCACGGAGUUCCUCCCAUUUCCAGAGCUACUAGAUUUGAAGAGGAGAUUGCACCGUAUUGAUUUGGGGAUGCAUUCCGAAGGACAAUCAUUUUUUAUUCACUUCCUGGGCUGCCAUUACUCAAGUUUUCUUGGAGCUACGAAGACUCUGGCAGCCAACUUAUUUGUCGGUAUGGACUAGCCCUUCUUGAUCUACUCAUCCUCACGUAAGGAAUCUCUCCACUUAGUAUUUUACCCCCUCUUUCUUUAGGUAUGAUUGGGCUGCCAGGAAAUCCUUUACUACCUGGUUACCUUUUAUGGUCAAAUAUUGCUACGGCAUAUAAAUUGUUAAAUGACAAUGAUCAGAUGCGUUCACAUCAGAGUUGCAUAUGAUUUCGUUACAUAGAGAGUUUGGCUAACAUUAUGUUAUUCUAGAUUUUAAGCAGAAGCAAAAUAAGAGUGGUCCCUACCUUUUCCUACCAAAGGCCUCACUGUGCUGAGUUUUUCACAUGUCUAUGGGCUAUGAACCAUCAGUUCAUGGUUGUGGCUUAGGUUGCUAUGAACUGAUUGCAUUUUUGUACUCGUGAGA